CCGCAUAACACCUACGGGUCAAAGGAGCAAUUCGCUUCAGGAGGGGGUCGCGGCCGAUUAGUUAGUUGGGGGGUAAUGGCCCACCAAGACAGUGAUCGGUACCCGGCUGAGAGGGCGCACGGACACACUGGAACUGAAACACGGGCCCAGACUCCUACGGGAGGCAGCAGUGGGGAAUUUUGCGCAAUGGGGGGAAACCCUGACGCAGCAACGCCGCGUGGAGGAUGAAAUCCCUUGGGACGUAAACUCCUUUCGACCAAGACGAUAAUGAACGGUACUGGUGGAAGAAGCACCGGCUAACUCUGUGCCAGCAGCCGCGGUAAUACAGAGGGUGCGAGCGUUGUUCGGAAUUAUUGGGCGUAAAGGGCGCGUAGGCGGCGCGGUA
Molecule: ribosomal RNA, 385 nt
Filed under: uncultured bacterium
Lineage: Bacteria
Description: bacterial SSU rRNA
Rfam family: Bacterial small subunit ribosomal RNA
Source: RNAcentral